UGGGGAAUUUUACACAAUGGGGGAAACCCUGAUGUAGCGACACCGCGUGAGCGAAGAAGCCCUUUGGGGUGUAAAGCUCUGUCAGCAGGGACGAAAUCAAUGACGGUACCUGCAGAGGAAGCAUCGGCUAACUACGUGCCAGCAGCCGCGGUAAGACGUAGGAUGCAAGCGUUGUCCGGAUUUAUUGGGCGUAAAGAGUUCGUAGGUGGUUUGUUAAGUCUGAUGUUAAAGAUCGGGGCUCAACCCUGGGAGUGCAUUGGAUACUGGCAGACUCGAGUAUGGUAGAGGCGAGUGGAAUUCCCAGUGUAGCGGUGAAAUGCGUAGAUAUUGGGAAGAACACCGGUGGCGCAAGCGACUCGCUGGGCCAUUACUGACACUGAGGAACGAAAGCUAGGGUAGCGAAUGG
This 406-nucleotide ribosomal RNA is filed under the name uncultured bacterium. RNAcentral describes it as "bacterial SSU rRNA". It matches the Rfam family "Bacterial small subunit ribosomal RNA", at positions 355 to 775 of the family's 1533-position model. The record is from RNAcentral.